This 245-nucleotide unclassified non-coding RNA is filed under the name uncultured fungus. RNAcentral describes it as "partial contains small subunit ribosomal RNA, internal transcribed spacer 1, and 5.8S ribosomal RNA". The stretch from base 1 to 73 matches the Rfam family "Eukaryotic small subunit ribosomal RNA", at positions 1759 to 1831 of the family's 1831-position model. Lineage: Eukaryota; Fungi. The record is from RNAcentral.
GCAAACUUGGUCAUUUAGAGGAAGUACAAGUCGUAACAAGGUUUCCGUAGGUGAACCUGCGGAAGGAUCAUUAACAAAUCAUAUGUGUGCGUGCAUUUUAUGUGCGCAAACAAUAUAUGUGCGCCAGCAUACGUGCUGGAAUGCAAUAUUCAUGUAUAAAUUUAUGUGUGUGUAAUGUCAUUUAUAAUCCAAAACAUACUUUUAACAAUGGAUCUCUUGGCUCUUGCAUCGAUGAAGAACGCAGC